This is a long non-coding RNA of Callithrix jacchus (white-tufted-ear marmoset), 2261 nucleotides long. The record is from Ensembl. Lineage: Eukaryota; Metazoa; Chordata; Mammalia; Primates; Cebidae.
AUGUUAGCCACUCGCCAGCACUCAGAGGGCCUUUCACACAGGAAAAAACGUGGUUCCUGCAGAUGGUUGCUGACAGCGGAGAUGGCACAGGAUGCAUGGAAGAGAGACACAACAAGGUCAAGUCAGGAGCCAAAGAGGAAGUGCCCGAGAAGGAGAUCCCCAAAUGAGGCCUGUGUCCAGGAGGUCACUAGAAGACUGGCUUCCACGCAUGCCAGGCCAUACUCUCCCUGCAAUCUGAAGGCGGAGGAUGUAACCAAUCUCAUAAGCCAUGUGUGGCUGAGGCAAUUGUCAGAGCUGUGAUGAGGGAAAUGCUCAUUAUUCUUCUAUCCUUCACUUAGCCAAUAAAGAACUUCUUAUAAUUCUUCCCCUAUGACAAAAUGGGACUGUGGUUUCGGAAAGUCGCAGGCAAGUUUGCUAGGGCCGCUGUAACUAAGCACCACAGACUGGGUGGCUUCGAGACUGAGUGGCUUCAACAGAAAGUUAUUGUUGCUCAAUUCGGGAAGCCAAAAGUCCAAAAUCAAGGUACUUGAGGGUUAGUUUGAUGAGAGGGCUGCAAGGGAAGGAUCUGUUCUAGACCUCUCUCCUAGGCUUGGAGGCCUUGGUCCUGAUAUUCACAGGGCAUCCUUCCUGUGCCUUCACAUCGUCUUCUCUCAGUGUAUCUCUGGGUCCAAAUUUCCCUAUUUUAAAAUAAGGAAAUCAGGAUCUCCGGGUCCAAAUUUCCCUAUUUUAAAAUCCUAUUGGGUUAGCGCCCCCACUCCCUUUAACUUGAUCACCUCUGUAAAGACCUUAUCGCCAAAUAAGAUCACAUCCCAGGUACUGAGGGUUAGGACCUCAUAUCUGAAUUCAGGGUGGGUGGGGGCACCAUUCAUUCCAUAACAAUAAGUGCACGAGGAAUCACACACUUGGGGAGAGUUCAAAGUGUGCAGAGCUGGUGGUCAUUGCCUAGCCUCAGGCCUUCGGAAAUCCCCUGAAUCUGGUUUUUUCAGUUCUCGUAAUCUCAUCUCACCAAAAUACGGUAUCUCAAUACAUUCCAUGCAUUUCUGGCGACAGCUCAUUCUGCUGCAUACUAAGCAAUGUGCGAACUGCGUCUUAAGUAGGGUGGUUUAACUGGUUUGGUUAACAGAUCUCGGAGGCAUUUCACCCAUUCCAUAAGCCUAAACAAAUCUAAUCCAGGUGUUUAAGACAUUGCACAAUAUUAGACUGUUUGAAGCUCCAUCUCCCUGAGGCAAUCUAGGUUGGUGAUGAAAGUGGCUGGUGACUGUUCUCAGUCUUGUCACCAUAACGGAAUCCUAUGUUGUGCUCCUCCAACCUGGUGUGAGGAACACUACUAAGUAAGACAGAGUUUGCACUCAGGAUAGAUAACUAUGGACUCAUGCACAGAUUCCAGCUGAGGCCCUCUGAUGUGCUAGGUACUAUGCCCAGUCCCCUGGAAUUCACCUGUAAGCAGGACAGUCUUUUGGAUGAGAGAGGAAAUUAUAUAUCCACAGGCAGAUGGAAUUUGCAAGUGGAAAGCCCUAGAGGUUCAGAGACAAGGGUACUGAACUUUUUCCUUUCAGUCAGAAUCUUUGCUCAUAGUUGUGCAAAUAUUUGUAUUGGUGGGUUUCCAUGCCAUACAACGUGCUAAAUAUUUUUACAUUACCCUUGCACAUAAGCAUGCUAUUGGGAAGGAAAAUGAAGAGGGUGGAGGUGGUAACAAACUCAAGCUAAAGAAAUGGGAUUUGAAUGGGUACAAAGCCCAGAGAAUUAGCUUGAGGAAAAUGAACCAGAAUUCACACAGGAGUUUUCAAACAUCUCAGUAUCAGGAUGCCUUUAUCCUCUUAAAACUUCGUGAGGCACUAAGUAUGUUUAUUGCAGCACUGUUCACAAUAGCAAAGACUUGGAACCAACCCAAAUGCCCAUCAAUGAUACACUGGAUAAAGAAAAUGUGACACAUAUACACCAUAGAAUACUCUGCAGCUAUAAAAAAGGAUGAGUUCAUGUCCUUUUCAGGGACAUGGAUGAAGCUGGAAACCAUCAUUCUCAGCAAAUUAACACAAGAACAGAAAACCAAACACCACAUGUUCUCAUUCAUAAGUGGGAGUCAAACAAUGAGAACACAUGGACACAGGGAGGGGAAUAUCACACACCCGGGCCUGUCAGGGGGUGGGGGCAAGGGAAGGUAGAGCAUUAGGAGAAAUACCUAAUGUAGAUGGGUUGAUGGGUGCAGCAAACCACCAUGACACAUGUAUACCUAUGUAACAAAUUUGCAUGUUCUAUACAUG